GACGAACGCUGGCGGCGUGCCUAAAACAUGCAAGUCGAACGAGGUCUUCGGACCUAGUGGCGAACGGCGGAGUAAUACAUAAGUAAUCUGCCCUGAAGUCGGGGAUAUACAGAGGAAACUCUGGGCAAUACCCGAUGUGGCUCUUGGAAGGCAUCUUCCGAGAAUUAAACGGUUUUUCGCUUCAGGAGGAGCUUAUGACACAUCAGCUAGUUGGUGGGGUAACGGCCUACCAAGGCGACGACGUGUAGGGGGUCUGAGAGGAUGAUCCCCCCGAGUGGGACUGAGACACGGCCCACACACCUACGGGUGGCAGCAGUUGGGAAUCUUGCACAAUGGGGGAAACCCUGAUGCAGCGACGCCGCGUGGAGGACGAAGGCCUUAGGGUCGUAAACUCCUUUUGCACGGAAAGACUUAGGACGGUACCGUGCGAAUAAGCCCCGGCUAACUACGUGCCAGCAGCCGCGGUAAU
This 469-nucleotide ribosomal RNA is filed under the name uncultured bacterium. RNAcentral's name for it is "bacterial SSU rRNA". It matches the Rfam family "Bacterial small subunit ribosomal RNA", at positions 28 to 524 of the family's 1533-position model. The record is from RNAcentral.